CCUACGGGAGGCAGCAGUAAGGAAUAUUGCUCAAUGGGAGAAAUCCUGAAGCAGCAACGCCGCGUGAGGGAUGAAGGGCUUAUGCUUGUAAACCUCUGUAGUGAGAGAAAAAAACCCGCCUCUGGCGGGCAUGAUGGUAUCUCAAAAGUAAGCCCCGGCUAACUACGUGCCAGCAGCCGCGGUAAU
This 186-nucleotide ribosomal RNA is filed under the name uncultured bacterium. RNAcentral's name for it is "partial 16S ribosomal RNA". It matches the Rfam family "Bacterial small subunit ribosomal RNA", at positions 338 to 524 of the family's 1533-position model. The record is from RNAcentral.